RNAcentral lists this ribosomal RNA (253 nucleotides) under uncultured bacterium. RNAcentral describes it as "partial 16S ribosomal RNA". It matches the Rfam family "Bacterial small subunit ribosomal RNA", at positions 524 to 776 of the family's 1533-position model. The record is from RNAcentral.
UACGUAGGUGGCAAGCGCUGUCCGGAUUUACUGGGCGUAAAGAGCGCGCAGGCGGUCGUUCAAGUGGCGUGUGAAAGCCCCCGGCUCAACUGGGGAGGGUCACGCGAUACUGUUCGACUCGAAGGCAGGAGAGGGAAGUGGAAUUCCCGGUGUAGUGGUGAAAUGCGCAGAUAUCGGGAGGAACACCAGUGGCGAAGGCGACUUCCUGGCCUGUUCUUGACGCUGAGGCGCGAAAGCUAGGGUAGCAAACGGG